GGCAGAGCUUGGAUGUGAACCAUACUGUUUACCUGGUUGCUGGGAACAGCUAUCACGUGAGGGCAUGUGUGUGUGUUCUACCUGUCCUCCCUUGAUACUCCUGAGGUAGCUGGUCCUGUGCCCAACUUUGAUUCAUUUUUAGUGAAAAACAACCUGACCUGAAGAUAAGAAUUCACUCCAGCAAGAUCAUCAGCUAUGAUAAUUGGACCUCUCAGAGUUCAUGUUAACUGGUGACUUAUUGCACUCAAGAGUUCUUAUGUGUGAGAAGGUGUGAGCUUCAGAAGGAAGCAGGCAUCUCUGGAGCUUUUCCAUGCAGACUGGGAUCCAGCUCAGGAUAGUGGGAGCUCAGAGAACUGUUUGGAGGAUUGCAGAAAUGGAGACCAGGAGGAUGUCAUUGUGUUAUUUUCAAGUCAUCCCACUGCAACUGAAAUCUGAACCCCAGGAAGUUGCUGACCUGAUUCCAUUACCACAAUUCCUUUGGUAGCCAUGAAACUGAAGACUGGCUGGAUUUGGGAAUCUGGUUGUUAAAGUGCCCCAUGAACAUCCACAUCUCUGAGCUAUUGAGGCUUAGUCAAGGGAAUUAACCUGGGGAAACCUAAUUUUCUUCUAGAAUCACCCAUGUCAGGGUGUCUGAAAUA
Molecule: long non-coding RNA, 638 nt
Filed under: Mus caroli (Ryukyu mouse)
Lineage: Eukaryota; Metazoa; Chordata; Mammalia; Rodentia; Muridae
Description: lncRNA (MGP_CAROLIEiJ_G0005440.1)
Source: RNAcentral